GAUGAACGCUGGCGGCGUGCCUAAUACAUGCAAGUCGAGCGAACAGAUGAGGAGCUUGCUCCUCUGACGUUAGCGGCGGACGGGUGAGUAACACGUGGAUAACCUACCUAUAAGACUGGGAUAACUUCGGGAAACCGGAGCUAAUACCGGAUAAUAUAUUGAACCGCAUGGUUCAAUAGUGAAAGACGGUUUUGCUGUCACUUAUAGAUGGAUCCGCGCCGCAUUAGCUAGUUGGUAAGGUAACGGCUUACCAAGGCAACGAUGCGUAGCCGACCUGAGAGGGUGAUCGGCCACACAGGAACUGAGACACGGUCCAGACUCCUACGGGAGGCAGCAGUAGGGAAUCUUCAGCAAUGGGCGAAAGCCUGACGGAGCAACGCCGCGUGAGUGAUGAAGGUCUUCGGAUCGUAAAACUCUGUUAUUAGGGAAGAACAAAUGUGUAAGUAACUAUGCACGUCUUGACGGUACCUAAUCAGAAAGCCACGGCUAACUACGU
This 496-nucleotide ribosomal RNA is filed under the name uncultured bacterium. RNAcentral's name for it is "partial 16S ribosomal RNA". It matches the Rfam family "Bacterial small subunit ribosomal RNA", at positions 28 to 506 of the family's 1533-position model. The record is from RNAcentral.